AACGAACGCUGGCGGCAUGCCUAACACAUGCCAGUCGAACGAGACCUUCGGGUCUAGUGGCGCACGGGUGCGUAACGCGUGGGAACCUGCCCUUAGGUUCGGAAUAACUCCCCGAAAGGGGUGCUAAUACCGGAUAAUGUCUUCGGACCAAAGAUUUAUCGCCUUUGGAUGGGCCCGCGUUGGAUUAGCUAGUUGGUAGGGUAAAAGCCUACCAAGGCGACGAUCCAUAGCUGGUCUGAGAGGAUGAUCAGCCACACUGGGACUGAGACACGGCCCAGACUCCUACGGGAGGCAGCAGUGGGGAAUAUUGCACAGUGGGCGAAAGCCUGAUCCAGCAAUGCCGCGUGAGUGAUGAAGGCCUUAGGGUUGUAAAGCUCUUUUACCCGGGAUGAUAAUGACAGUACCGGGAGAAUAAGCUCCGGCUAACUCCGUG
This 433-nucleotide ribosomal RNA is filed under the name uncultured bacterium. Its description in RNAcentral is "partial 16S ribosomal RNA". It matches the Rfam family "Bacterial small subunit ribosomal RNA", at positions 29 to 507 of the family's 1533-position model. The record is from RNAcentral.